Molecule: long non-coding RNA, 560 nt
Filed under: Helianthus annuus (common sunflower)
Lineage: Eukaryota; Viridiplantae; Streptophyta; Magnoliopsida; Asterales; Asteraceae
Description: hypothetical non coding rna
Source: RNAcentral
ACCAUCUUUCUUCACUCUCUCUAGUCUCUACCGUCCAAAACAACCUCCAGUGCCACCUGCGACCACCACCACACACCCUAAUCCGACCACUUCACUUGAAAACAAGCGUCUGAUGUACCACCAGACCUGGCACCUCCACUCGCCGGACCACCAACAUCGAUUCCUCUAGCGACAUCGAAGAUAUAGGAUUCUGAAGAUGUCGGAUCGUUGUCAUCGGAUAGAUCUGAGCCGAAACAGCUUAAUGUGAUCUGAAAACAGGUUCCGUCAGUGACGGUUGUUCUCCGGCUCUCUGUUCACUCAUUUUCGAUUGGGGGUAUGUGAAAGUAUGAUUGAAGUUAAAUCUGAGUGAUUUGUGUGUUGAUUUAGAAAUCUUCAUUUUAUUGGAAGUAAACAAAAGCUUCAAGAAAUCUUCAAUUUUUAGAAUUCUUCAUUUUUUUUCCGUUGUCUUCUUGUAAAGCAUUUAAAUUUGACACCUUACUUUUUUGGAGUUUUAGUUAGUGUUGGUGAUGAAUAAAAUUGGUGGAAUUAUCAAAGAAAUUGAUUUGAUUGUGAUCGAUUAG